RNAcentral lists this ribosomal RNA (253 nucleotides) under uncultured bacterium. RNAcentral's name for it is "partial 16S ribosomal RNA". It matches the Rfam family "Bacterial small subunit ribosomal RNA", at positions 524 to 776 of the family's 1533-position model. The record is from RNAcentral.
GACGGAGGGUGCGAGCGUUGUUCGGAAUUACUGGGCGUAAAGCGUACGUAGGCGGUUUGUUAAGUCGAAUGUAAAAGCCCGAGGCUCAACCUCGGAACCGCAUUCGAUACUGGCGAACUAGAGGAUGAUAGAGGAAAGCGGAAUUCCGAGUGUAGCGGUGAAAUGCGUAGAUAUUCGGAGGAACAUCAGUGGCGAAAGCGGCUUUCUGGGUCAUUCCUGACGCUGAGGUACGAAAGCGUGGGGAGCAAACGGG